GUGUCAGCAGCCGCGGUAAUACAGAGAGUGCAAGCGUUAAUCGGAAUUACUGGGCGUAAAGCGCGCGUAGGUGGGUAUUUAAGUCGGAUGUGAAAGCCCUGGGCUUAACCUAGGAAUUGCAUUCGAUACUGGACAUCUAGAGUAUGGUAGAGGGAAGUGGAAUUUCCGGUGUAGCGGUGAAAUGCGUAGAUAUCGGAAAGAACACCAGUGGCGAAGGCGGCUUCCUGGACCAAUACUGACACUGAAGCGCGAAAGCGUGGGGAGCAAACAGGAUUAGAGACCCUGGUAGUCCACGCCCUAAACGAUGAGAACUAGACGUUAGAAGGGUAAAACCUUUUAGUGUCGAAGCUAACGCGAUAAGUUCUCCGCCUGGGGAGUACGGCCGCAAGGUUAAA
This 395-nucleotide ribosomal RNA is filed under the name uncultured bacterium. RNAcentral's name for it is "bacterial SSU rRNA". It matches the Rfam family "Bacterial small subunit ribosomal RNA", at positions 505 to 898 of the family's 1533-position model. The record is from RNAcentral.